This 460-nucleotide ribosomal RNA is filed under the name uncultured bacterium. RNAcentral describes it as "partial 16S ribosomal RNA". It matches the Rfam family "Bacterial small subunit ribosomal RNA", at positions 338 to 795 of the family's 1533-position model. The record is from RNAcentral.
CCUACGGGCGGCAGCAGUGAGGAAUAUUUGUCAAUGGACGAGAGUCUGAACCAGCCAAGUAGCGUGAAGGAUGACUGCCCUAUGGGUUGUAAACUUCUUUUAUAUGGGAAUAAAACAGGGUAUGCAUACCCUCUUGUAUGUACCAUAUGAAUAAGGAUCGGCUAACUCCGUGCCAGCAGCCGCGGUAAUACGGAGUAUCCGAGCGUUAUCCGGAUUUGUUGGGUUUAAAGGGAGCGUAGGUGGAUUGUUAAGUCAGUUGGGAAAGUUUGCGGCUCAACCGUAAAAUUGUAAGUGAAACUGGCAGGCUUGAGUACAGUAGAGGUAGGCGGAAUUCGUGGUGUAGCGGUGAAAUGCUUAGAUAUCACGAAGAACUCCGAUUGCGAAGGCAGCUCACUGGACUGCAACUGACACUGAUGCUCGAAAGUGUGGGUAUCAAACAGGAUUAGAUACCCCUGUAGUC